Ictidomys tridecemlineatus (thirteen-lined ground squirrel) is the source of this 1054-nucleotide long non-coding RNA. RefSeq lists it as uncharacterized. The record is from RefSeq and is a predicted model, not a curated record. Lineage: Eukaryota; Metazoa; Chordata; Mammalia; Rodentia; Sciuridae.
AAAGAUCAGCUUACUGAAUUCCUCAGUCUGUCCUUUGAGAUUUCAACCAAAUGAUGUAACAUAGGAUGCCGUUCUGGUUAAUUAUUCCUUAGAAUGAGCCUCAAUAUCGUUACAAAUUCCCCAUUCUGCCUCUGCUUUCCCUCUUCUGCUCUUAUUCCGUGAUUGUAAUUUCUAGAGUUAGAUUCUAGGGCACACCUGACCUUAGGCUCUGCUGGGUUGCUUAUCCUGAAGCGUUGUGAGUCCCUCCCAAGGUGAAGAAAUAUAAUUAGAAGAAAAAGAGAUCAUUCAGUGAGGAGCCUAAGUGUGAGUGGCCAUAAGUUACAUGGAAUUAUGCUGUUAUGUGUUACAUUGGACCUUUUUAAUCAGCUGCGUGUCAAUGACUCUGGAAUUCAUUUAGGUCUUCUCCAGCAAUUCCAGGCCAUCUGUCCUCACCGUACCAAAUAAGCAUUCAUGGACACAUGGCUGCCUCCUCCAGACUGACAAAGGCUCUUUAGUACAGCGAAGAGAAAUGACCCAGCAGCAGUGGUGAAGAGGCCUAAAAAUAUUUAAAGUAAAAAAAUAACAAGACCCACCAACUUUCUCUUUUCUUGACACCCCCUUUUAUCUUAAGUUUAUUUCAUGUUUUAUCAUUGGAAUCUGCCCUUACAGAAUGCAUUUGCAUAAUUGCCUACCAAAUUAGAUAUAAGCUUAUUUUUAAAGGUGAAGAAUCCUUAUAUCAGAAAAGAAAUUAAAAAUGUUUAAUUUCCUUAUAAGAAAUGGCUGCAUAUAUUCUCAUAUAGUACAAUAGGAAAGGAUUUAAAAGACAGAAAGGUGAUAGAUAAUGUAUAUGAAGAAACUCCUAAAAUUUCUACUUCUAUAGCAGAUACAAGAGGUUUAAGAGAUAUGGGGUUUUUUUCUGUUUUUUUUUUUUUUCUUAGCAGUUUAAUAAGAAUGCUUCCAAUGAGAAGAUAUGCUUUUAAAUAACUUACAUAAAUUCUAAGAUAGUUAAGACACAGAUUUUUUUUUAAAGUCACAGGAUUAAAAUUUUACAUAAAAGAGGUUGACUCAUUUUACA